Molecule: transfer RNA, 73 nt
Filed under: Alphaproteobacteria bacterium
Lineage: Bacteria; Pseudomonadati; Pseudomonadota; Alphaproteobacteria
Description: tRNA-Trp
Source: RNAcentral
ACCGGCGCGUUCUGGAGAACAACACGGACUCCAAACCCGUGAAGGAGAGUUCGAUUCUGCUCCGCCGGUGCCA